UGCCAUACCAUGCUGAAUAUACCGGUUCUCGUUAGAUCACCGAAGUCAAGCAUCAUUGGGCGCUGUCUGUACUUGGGUGGGUGACCACCUGGGAACGCCACGUGCCGUU
RNAcentral lists this ribosomal RNA (109 nucleotides) under Caerostris extrusa. Lineage: Eukaryota; Metazoa; Arthropoda; Arachnida; Araneae; Araneidae. The record is from RNAcentral.